Molecule: ribosomal RNA, 426 nt
Filed under: uncultured bacterium
Lineage: Bacteria
Description: bacterial SSU rRNA
Rfam family: Bacterial small subunit ribosomal RNA
Source: RNAcentral
UGGGGAAUUGUUCGCAAUGGGCGCAAGCCUGACGACGCAACGCCGCGUGGGGGAUGAAGGUCUUCGGAUCGUAAACCCCUGUCGAAUGGGACGAAUAGCCAUCGGAUUAAUACCCCGGUGGAAUGACGGUACCGUUCAAGGAAGCCACGGCUAACUCUGUGCCAGCAGCCGCGGUAAUACAGAGGUGGCAAGCGUUGUUCGGAAUUACUGGGCGUAAAGGGCGCGUAGGCGGCCAUCUAAGUCAGACGUGAAAUCCCCAGGCUCAACCUGGGAACUGCGUCUGAUACUGGGAGGCUAGAGUUUGGGAGAGGGAUGUAGAAUUCCAGGUGUAGCGGUGAAAUGCGUAGAUAUCUGGAGGAAUACCGGUGGCGAAGGCGGCAUCCUGGACCAAUACUGACGCUGAGGCGCGAAAGCUAGGGGAGCAAA